CACCACUCGUUCUAUCUUUGGGAAGUCAAAAUUGAUUUUCUUCCACUUGUCACACUAAAAUCUCAACUCUGUCCUUUCUGUUUCACUCUCAAAGAGUUCAGCGGUAUCGGGAUCAAAGGAUUAGGAAGCCGCAGCUUUAAGGGAGGCAAGCAGCAUGAGAAGACUUUGUGGAGGCAGCUCUGAGCAUUUUAUGUAAGCAAUCUAUUUCAGCUUCAAAGGAAGCACUGGCUAAGUGGGUGAACAACAUGUAAAGUGCUCACUUGACAUAAAUUUUUUUUUUUUUAAGUAGCUGAGAUAAAGACAGCCUCCAAUCACUGACCUUUUAUUAUUAGUCAGAGCCCUGAGUACAAGAGAGACUUCAGCAGAGGUGGCCAACGGGCGCCUGCAGAGACUCCAGGCGCGUUCUUGCCUGUUGGUGCAAUAUUUGCAGCUGCGGCACUCUCCUUCAAGUUGUUUGUUCCACUCUCUGCCUGAUGCUAUGGGUAUCUGAUUUCUAUCUCUGGAAACAGCGUGGGAGCCAUGUGGCGGUCAAGGCUGGACUUUAACUGCAAAGGAGCACAUCACAGCAAGCUCCCAGGGAGCCGGGCACAGCUCAGUAUCAGUCUUGGUUUCACUUGAAAAAUGUACAGACCUUUUAUAAAUUAUAGGAAAGAGAUAAUGGAAUCCCUAUGCAUUUACUCUUCUCUUCAUAAACCAUGGCGAGAAUUUUUUUAAAAUUCCAUGUAUUCAGACUAGUUAAAAAAUAUGGAUAGGCUUUUGCUAAUUGUACAUUUUACUUGGUUUAAUAGAUAUAUAUAUUAGAGUAGAGCUACCAUUUGCUGUAUGUCACACGUGCCAGGCUCUGGGCUACGUACUUUCCAUGUAAAAACUCACUAUUCCUAGUGAAAAACCUUUCGGUUAAGUGUUCUACCUCCUAUUUACAGAAGAAUAAAUUGAGGCCCUGCAAGGAUUAAGGAAUCUGUACAAAGUCACACGCAGGCUGAACUAUGAAAAGCAACUAGAGGACAUUCUCCCCCUUGAAGAUAAUCACUUUUAUUGUUGCCGGGUCAAAGAUUCAGAUUCCACGCAGCAACCUCUGACUAAAGAACAGCAAGUCCUUUCAGAUUUCUUCUUUCGGUGGAUCGUGUAAAUUAGUGAGUUGCUUUCACGUCUUUUGGCCAGCUUCAGAGAAGAAUGAAGUACCCAAUGCUUGGUGAGAGGCAGUCCAUGUUCCGGAUGUAAAGCACUUCUCACUAUAUUAAUUGUCCGCUGGCUUAAUUUUUUCAUAUUCUGUCGAAUGCACUUUGCCUGCGUGUACGAAGGCAGCUUCCUCAUCAGAUGUGAGUUGGGAGCAUCCACAUGUACUCCACUGAUGCUCCCCAAACUUCCAAGAUAAAAAUUUCCACAAGGGGAAGAUAGCAGUCAAAUGUGAGAAGAAUAAUUUGCAAAUAGAUAAAUACGCAAAUAAAUAAAACUGUUCAUGGAGUUGUCUACUGGAAAACGAUGUGCCAAGGGCACAAUGAGCGAAAGUGAAGCUUGACAAUGAGUUAGGUCGCCAGAUGUGGCGCGGUGAUUUGGGGGGGCCCAGGGGAGCACCCAUGAGGAGAAAGGCUGGGUGUAAAUCAGUCAUAGCAACGCUCCACUGCACCUGGGGGGCCCUGAGGAAAUACGUUAGUGGUGAAUCAAGAGCCAGGCUCCAAGGCCCUGAGGCCAGUGUGCUGGGAGAGGGGCGUGUCAGAGGCACAUGGGAGAGGUGGGCCUGAAGACAGAGAGAAGCUCUAAGUCAAGCAAAGACCCAGGUUUCUAGAAGUGGUCAUGCAAAUAGCUGAGGUUCGCAGAUUCUAUUAUUUAAUAAUUAAAUGUAAAGAAGCAUUUAGCUUACGUCAACUAUUUUAGUUAGGAGAGCAAUAGUCACAAAGCAGCAGUUGUGAAAUUUAUAUGGAUUGGAAAAGGGUGUGAUAGACACGGGGUGGAAGAGUUUCCAUUUGUUUUGUUUUAAGCCACGGUCAAUGUGGGCUUUCAAAGUCAGAUGCCGAAGGAGGAAUUAAAUUAUCCAGUGAGUAUUAGAGAGUUAUUCUCAAACCGUAUUUUACUGUAAGAUGGGGUUAUUUUAAAUUCAGAAAAGCUAAUGAGCAUAAAGAAGACUGCAAAUCUUCUGGGACCAUGUGUCAGCUGAUCCACAGCUGCUGCAACCGAAAAGUCACAAAGCUUGCUGGGAAAUGGAGAACAAUGCAGACUCAGUUGUCAUGAAUAUCUUAUGUGAAGUUACUUUUUAGAGAAAUCUCCAAAUGCAAUCUCUAUAGGCAAACAUAUACAUUUGUAUAUAGAAAGAGUAAAGCUGUAAUCUUCAUUGAACACAGAGAUUUGUUUCUUUUGGGUUUUUUUAAAUUUGCAUUUCAUUGUUUUUCAUGAAAAUGAAUUUAAUGCUUGAAUUCUGUACAAGCAUCACAGGAAAAGGCUAUCAGGAAUCUGCAAGAGCCAUACAAGGUGUCCCUUAGAUAAAUAAUGGUCAGGAAAGGAAAUGUGUGAAUGAAAAGACCACGAUGUGCUGACUACGUUGAGGCACUGAGCAGAACAGACAGUGGGAGGCAACGACUGAGACAACCUGAGUUGAAAAAUAGUGUCUGGAAGACGCAGGGGUGUAUACAGUGUCUAAUAAAAUUCUGCAAAGAAGCUCAAAAGUGAUCACGUAUUUAUUGCAAGGGUAUUUUCAAAAUAAACUCAUUUUGAAUUAUUCACUCUUCCCCUCUCCCCACCAAAAAAACAACCUAUUAUGAAUUAGUUUGGAGUAAACGUUUUCACAGGUUUUCAACUGGUUGUACCACACACUCUUAAAAUAAAGGUAUUACACAUUCCAAAAACAUUUCAACUCUUACAUGAGCCUAAAGAUAACACCGCUUCAGUCAGCAUUAUAAGCAACACCA
RNAcentral lists this long non-coding RNA (2903 nucleotides) under Homo sapiens (human). Its description in RNAcentral is "HSALNT0081604". Lineage: Eukaryota; Metazoa; Chordata; Mammalia; Primates; Hominidae. The record is from RNAcentral.